This 1498-nucleotide long non-coding RNA is filed under the name Bos indicus x Bos taurus (hybrid cattle). RNAcentral's name for it is "lncRNA (ENSBIXG00000006122.1)". The record is from RNAcentral. Lineage: Eukaryota; Metazoa; Chordata; Mammalia; Artiodactyla; Bovidae.
UGAUUUUGGAAACUGUGGUGCUGGAGAAGACUCUUGAGAGUCCGUUGGGCAGCAAGGAGAUCCAACCAGUCCAUCCUAAAGGAAAUCAGUCCUGAAUAUUCACUGGAAGGACUGAUGCUGAAGCUGAAACUCCAAUACUUUGGCCACCUUAUGCGAACAACCGACUCAUUGGAAAAGACCCUGAUGUUGGGAAAGAUUGAAGGCGGGAGAAGGGGACGACAGAGGAUGAGAUGGUUGGAUGGCAUCACCGACUAGCAAGCUCAGGGUGUUGGUGAUGGACAGGGAAGCCUGGCGUGCUGCAGUCCAGGGGGUCGCAAAGAGUCGGACACGACUGAGCGACUGGACUGACUGAGGAUUCAUUUUGACACCUCCGUCUCGCGUGCUGCGCCUUCAUUUCUCAAAGCCUAACUGCGCCAGUCCUCCAGAUCUCCGCACGGCGUCCCUUCCCCUGAGACCCCGCCCUUGUCUCCCGGCUCAACCCACUGAAGGCCUUGCGGGCCCGGCCCGGCCCGGCGCCCCGCCCCCUCAAACGUCGCAGUGCUGCAGGGAAAGGGGGCGGGGCUUGGCGGGGGUGGGAUUUGUCCUUCCGCUGUAGGGCCAAUCGGUGAGGCUCCCCCUUGCCGAAACAGGGGAGCGGGGCGCAAAGACAGGACAAGUGUUUUCCCCUUCUCCGCCACGUCCCAACUACUGACGCGCGCCCACUCCUCAGGUUCCGAUUGGGCAGGAGGCUUACCCCCGCAGCGGUCUAUUAAGCCUAUUGGUCGAGCCCGCUUUGGGGGCGGGGCUUGCGCGCUCCCCGCCCUCGCCUGCGCCGCGGCGCAAGGGGCGGGGCGCGCCGCCGCCGUCCGUGUUUCCGCCGCCGCCGGCUCCUGCGCGUUGGGCGGGGGAGGAGUCGGAGGCGGAGAAGAAGGCGGCGGCGGCGGCGGGUGGAGGACCGAGCGCCGUCCUCGCUCCGGAGCCGCUUCUCAGCUCGAACUUCAAACAGCAUGGAAGGACUAAGGUGAAAAGUGCAUCUCCCACUUCCCCUUCUAGUUCUGCCUUCGUUCUGAGAGUCAGCUGUUCAGUAAACUUCCUCUUUAUGUGAUUAUUUCUGGAGCAUGUAUUCCUAGAAAUUGAAUUGCUAGAUUAAAAACAGUAUGCAUUUAAGUUUUGAUAACCUAUUAAAUUUCUCCCUACUUAGUACUCUUUUCCAAGUUAAUCUUAUGCAUUCUACAAAUGAACUUUAGACUCAACUUGCAAAUUAGAUAAAAGAUCCUUUAGGUGUUUUGAGUGAGGUUAUAUUGAAAUUUUAGAUUAAUAUGGAGCAUAUUGUACUUUGUGAUACUGAAUCUCUCCCUUCUGAUAGAUAUGUAUAGCAUGUCUCUUAAUUCACAUCUUGCUUAAGGAAAGUUUUAUAAUUUUAUUCCAUAAAACUCUAUGGCAUUCCAUCUUGGUAGCUCUGGUGGAUAGAAACUUUAAGUAACAUUUAUUUCUCACCCCCCAGUUAUACCAAAGCUUU